UUUUUUUUUUGGUAACACAAAAUUACCCAAGGUAUAGUAAACAAAGAAGACACAGACAAUAAAAACUAACAGAUGCCACAUUUUGCAAACAUAGCAUUUGGCUAGAGGCAGAAUUAUAAGGUAUACAUAUUAAAACAUACAUCCAAGACUCUCCUCCUCAAUUUGAAACCAUGUUUAUCAAGUUUUUACUUCAUUGUAUAUAAGCCAAAAAAUUAAGAGAACCUUGAUUUGUUCCUGAAAUACAAGAUUUGCUUGUAUUAUUACUGGACCAGGUAGACUGGAUAUGUGAAUGUUUAAUUCAUAGUUAGCUAGCUUUACCAUCAUCUCCUGAAUCAGCUGCUGAGGAUGCCUGUGCCUCUGCCCAUAACUAUAUAUAGAGUAUGCUUUCAAAACAAUAUAGGCCGGGUGUGGUGGCUCACACCUGUAAUCCCAGCACUUGUGGAGGCCAAGGCGGGCGGAUCACGAGGUCAAGAGAUUCAGAUC
This 483-nucleotide long non-coding RNA is filed under the name Homo sapiens (human). RNAcentral describes it as "non-protein coding lnc-CHRNA3-5:1". Lineage: Eukaryota; Metazoa; Chordata; Mammalia; Primates; Hominidae. The record is from RNAcentral.